This 253-nucleotide ribosomal RNA is filed under the name uncultured bacterium. Its description in RNAcentral is "partial 16S ribosomal RNA". It matches the Rfam family "Bacterial small subunit ribosomal RNA", at positions 524 to 776 of the family's 1533-position model. The record is from RNAcentral.
UACGGGGGGGGCAAGCGUUGUUCGGAAUUACUGGGCGUAAAGGGCUCGUAGGUGGCCAACUAAGUCAGACGUGAAAUCCCUCGGCUUAACCGGGGAACUGCGUCUGAUACUGGAUGGCUUGAGUUCGGGAGAGGGAUGCGGAAUUCCAGGUGUAGCGGUGAAAUGCGUAGAUAUCUGGAGGAACACCGGUGGCGAAGGCGGCAUCCUGGCCCGUACCUGACGCUGAGGCGCGAAAGCGUGGGGAGCAAACAGG